GCCAGGAUGGCUGAGGCGCUCAAAGGCGCUGAGUUCAGGUCGCAGUUCACUUCUGUGUGCGUGGGUUCGAAUCCCACUUCUGACA
Molecule: non-coding RNA, 85 nt
Organism: Trichonephila clavipes
Lineage: Eukaryota; Metazoa; Arthropoda; Arachnida; Araneae; Nephilidae
Source: the annotation of a GenBank genome assembly